UUAGCUGAUCUGCUACUGUGUUUGCCUUUCCUUAUAGACCUUCACUAUUAGAAUACGCGGCCUUAUGGAUACGGUCUCCGCAUAUUGGGUCCGCAGCAACCAGGCGUGGUGCUUCUCUCCCAGGAGUUGAUCGCCGCUCUACUUGCAUGCUCUUUGUUUUGUUUGUUUCCAAUCUCUGAUAGAGGUCCAAGACAUCUGCCAACUAUCAACUUUGAUCAAUUGUUUGCGAGUCUCUGUGAGAGCCAAUAAAAUAAGUUGAGGUGCAUUGUGCACUAUUUCCAAAGGAUAUGUUUGCAAAUGCCUACAGGAUAUGUCUCAUUUGAGCGCAAGCUUCUCUCUUUAGGACACCAGCCUUUGCAAUCAUGCCUUUCUUAUCCAUAUGCUGAUUUUUGGACCAAAUCAACUAUCCCUCUGUGCCCUUU
This is a long non-coding RNA of Hibiscus syriacus, 422 nucleotides long. RefSeq lists it as uncharacterized. The record is from RefSeq and is a predicted model, not a curated record. Lineage: Eukaryota; Viridiplantae; Streptophyta; Magnoliopsida; Malvales; Malvaceae. The transcript is spliced from 3 exons.